CUGUUAGAGGAAUGAUGUAUUAUUCUAGAGCUCUGAAGCUGCUGACGUUCCUUGAUUCUGCAUCAGAGAUUGACAUCAAAAG
Small nucleolar RNA from Hibiscus syriacus, 82 nucleotides. RefSeq annotates it as small nucleolar RNA J33. The transcript has a single exon. Lineage: Eukaryota; Viridiplantae; Streptophyta; Magnoliopsida; Malvales; Malvaceae. The record is from RefSeq and is a predicted model, not a curated record.